This 89-nucleotide unclassified non-coding RNA is filed under the name Pseudomonas helmanticensis. Lineage: Bacteria; Pseudomonadati; Pseudomonadota; Gammaproteobacteria; Pseudomonadales; Pseudomonadaceae. The record is from RNAcentral.
UGUGGGAGCUGGCUUGCCAGCGAUAGCGUCAGUCCAGGCAGUAAUUCCUCGCCUGUUCCGCCGCCAUCGCUGGCAAGCCAGCUCCCACA